This 253-nucleotide ribosomal RNA is filed under the name uncultured bacterium. RNAcentral describes it as "partial 16S ribosomal RNA". It matches the Rfam family "Bacterial small subunit ribosomal RNA", at positions 524 to 776 of the family's 1533-position model. The record is from RNAcentral.
UACGUAGGGGCCGAGCGUUGUCCGGAGUUAUUGGGCGUAAAGCGCGCGCAGGCGGCCUCGCGCGCCCGACGUGAAAGCCCCCGGCUUAACCGGGGAGGGUCGUUGGGGACGGCGGGGCUUGAGGGCGGGAGAGGGCGGUGGAAUUCCCGGUGUAGUGGUGAAAUGCGUAGAUAUCUGGAGGAACACCGGUGGCGAAGGCGGCGUUCUGGACUGUUUCUGACACUGAAAAACGAAAGCCAGGGGAGCAAACGGG